AAAAUUUCAAUCCAAAAUAUAUACUUAUACUUCUUCUCAUUUGUCGCACCAUACACUCAUACUUCUUCUCAUCUGUCGCACCAAAGAUUAUUAUUUAUAAUAGUGGCUAGUGGCUAAAUCUCAAGAAGAUUAGGCAUAAUAUAAAACUAUAAUAUAAAACUUAUUUUAAUGGGAUAAUUAAAACAGAAUAGAGUUAAAAAAUAUUACGGUUCUAGAAUUCGAGACAUAUCUAGCAACCUAUCACUAAAGUUUAAUAUGGUAUUAAUCGUGGUGGCCAAAAGUCUAUAUUAACAUCGCUAUGAAAAACACCAACCGUCUCUAGAGCAAAUAACAAAAGGCUUGGUGGUUGGUACCCGAGACCAAGUUCGAAUCCUAGUUGAUUCAUAUUUUCAGUUAAGUUUAUUUCUAAAUGAAAUAAACAAAACGGGUAGCGUGCUACCUAUCUCUUUCAAAAAAAAAAAAAAAUAUCGCCAUGAAAAACUUUCAUAUUUAUUUUCGUACAUUACAAUAUAUUUUCUGUAACCCUAUACAAAAAAAUAUAAAAAUACUUUUCUAUAUAUUUUGAUCAAUCAUAUAAAAAAAUAUUGAAUAAAUUA
This 596-nucleotide long non-coding RNA is filed under the name Ananas comosus (pineapple). RNAcentral's name for it is "long non-coding RNA (ACOM_LNC021855)". Lineage: Eukaryota; Viridiplantae; Streptophyta; Magnoliopsida; Poales; Bromeliaceae. The record is from RNAcentral.